UGUUAUGGCGGCUGUGCGCGGGAGGUCUUCGGACCUGCCGGGUUUCCUAUUGUCCCGGUUUCUCAGCCUGCGCACAGCUGCCACCCUU
This 88-nucleotide non-coding RNA is filed under the name Pseudomonas chlororaphis. The record is from RNAcentral. Lineage: Bacteria; Pseudomonadati; Pseudomonadota; Gammaproteobacteria; Pseudomonadales; Pseudomonadaceae.